RNAcentral lists this ribosomal RNA (360 nucleotides) under uncultured bacterium. RNAcentral's name for it is "bacterial SSU rRNA". It matches the Rfam family "Bacterial small subunit ribosomal RNA", at positions 29 to 419 of the family's 1533-position model. The record is from RNAcentral.
AACGAACGCUGGCGGCAGGCCUAACACAUGCAAGUCGAACGCUCCGCAAGGGGAGUGGCAGACGGGUGAGUAACACGUGGGAAUCUUCCUGUUGGUACGGAAUAGCUCAGGGAAACUUGGGGUAAUACCGUAUAAGCCCGAGAGGGGAAGGAUUUAUCGCCGACAGAUGAGCCCGCGUCUGAUUAGCUAGUUGGUGAGGUAAUGGCUCACCAAGGCGACGAUCAGUAGCUGGCUGAGAGGAUGACCAGCCACACUGGGACUGAGACACGGCCCAGACUCCUACGGGAGGCAGCAGUGGGGAAUAUUGGACAAUGGGCGCAAGCCUGAUCCAGCCAUGCCGCGUGAGUGACGAAGGUCUUC